Molecule: long non-coding RNA, 991 nt
Organism: Lathyrus oleraceus (garden pea)
Lineage: Eukaryota; Viridiplantae; Streptophyta; Magnoliopsida; Fabales; Fabaceae
Exons: 3
Source: RefSeq, a predicted model, not a curated record
GCGAGAUCUAGGGUUUUCAGGAGAGAGAAAGAGAGAGAUUGGGCUUGGAAAGGAACCCGAUACUAAUUGGACCUAAAGUUCGAGAGGCAAUAGUAUGGCUCGUUGUGUUUUGAUAAGGUCGUGUAAAGAUAUAAAAUACAACAAGGUACCCCAAUGGGGAAUGGACCAUGGAUAUCAUCAUAUUCGGAGCCUCCUCCAUAAUUUAGGAGGAACAAUGGCUGAAAAUUAGGAUAGAUUGAGGCACGACCAUGUAUUCCAACAUGCGUCAGUUCGUAGGGAGAGGGCAGUGCGCUCGAGGCCACGAGUUAGUGCUAGUUCAUUUGACGCGGAAAUGUCGACUUCACAUGGUCGUGUGUCUUAGGCUUCACAAGGUCGCGUGUCUCAGACUUCGACCUCCUGAGGGCACGUGUCUCAUGAUGACCUUGUAGCUUAUGAAGCACCUGAAGCCCAUCAAGAAGAACUUCUUGUUGUUGCUCUCGUUCCUGAUAGUUUUUUAAGAGGCCCUUGUGACACCUCCUUACUUCUUCUUUAUGCAAAACAUGUUACUAGGCAUGUGUGAGAAAGAGGUGUAUAUUUUUUUUUACUUUUCGUUACACCUAUUUCAUACUAAUUGAGUUGAGACUGAUGUUGAUAUAUUAAUUUUUAUAGGAGCAUGGAACGAUAAAAUCUGUAAAUCAUGCUAAAAAUAUUUUGAAUUUGGAAUAGAAUGUAGUCACAUGGUUUCAAGAUGUAUUUUGUUACUCUGGGCUGACAUGUUUAUGAGCCAUUGGAUACAAGAUCAUUCACCAUGGCAUGUUAAUGAAUUUUGUGGAGAGAUGGCAUAAAAAGGCAUCUCUUUCCACAUCCCUCAUGGUGAGGUGUUCAUAACUCUUGAUGGUGAUGUUAGAACAAAAUUGGUUUAUCAUAUAUCCCUUAUGUUUUGAUGAUAACAAAGUAUUUAAAGAAAAAUUGAGUAUAUAUUUGUUCAAGUGUGCAAGACCAAAGACUAAAU